Non-coding RNA from Nerophis lumbriciformis (worm pipefish), 1259 nucleotides. NCBI's taxonomy places the organism in Eukaryota, Metazoa, Chordata, Actinopteri, Syngnathiformes, Syngnathidae. The record is from RefSeq and is a predicted model, not a curated record.
UUAUUAUUUCUUCUCCAGUUUGACAUAUUUACGCCCUAUAAAAUACAUCUUUGAUUCUUUAUUCAAGGAUAAAAUGGUCUGAAUGCGCUAGAAGCACUUUGCUGCUUCUCCUGCUAUCUUUGCUUGUUAGUUAGCUUAGCUCGCUAGUUAGCUUAGCUAGUUAGCUGCUAACAGAAGUUAUCAACACAUCGCUAAGUAGAGAUCAAGUGUGAGAGUAAAGUGUUGUGAUUGUGUGAAAAUGUCUACAUUACACAUGUUGAGAGCGUUGGUGGAUCAGCGACUAACUGCUGCCGUUGAAGAAAUAUUUGUAGUGUUAGAAAGAACGAUAGCAGAAUACGAGGCGGAACUUUCUAGAACAAAAGAGGAGAACAAUCAACUACUGGACGCUGUUUUCAAGAAACAUCAAGUUGUGUUACACAGAACAGGUGGAUUGGACGUUGGCCUGGGAAGGCAUUCCUCUGAAGGUCUUCUUCAUGUGUCAGCUGGAAGUACCCUGACUGCUGUGAGGGGAAACUGAUGAGAUUAUGUCGUAGAAGAACAUCUUCCUCGUGAGCAGGAAGAAGAGCCACAGCCCCACCACAUUAAAGAGGAAGAAGAUGUACCACAUUCCCAUCACAUUAAAGAGGGAGGGGAGGAGCCACAACCCCCCCAUAUUACAGAGGAAGACGAGACGCAUAGUGUUAAACUGUCCCUUCACAUUAAAGGUCAAGCGGCUGACCCACUGGUCUUAAACAGCAAAAAUGAAGAGGAGGACCCACUGACCCCUCACUUUAAGGAGCAAGAGAACCCGCUGACCCCUCACAUUAAAGAGGAAAAGGAGGACCCACUGAACCCCUACUUUAAAGAGGAAGAGGAGGACCAAGAGCCGCUGCACAUUAAAGAGGAAGAGGAGGAGCACCGCAUCAGUCAGCCUAAAUGGUUGGAGGAGUUCCCAGUGACUGGUGUCCCUGUGAAGAGUGAAGAUGAUGAGGUCAAAGGUGAGAGUGAGGAGAAGAGAGAGGCGGAGCCUCCAAGCAGCAGCUCAACACAACACAUGACAACAGAAGCUGAUGGAGACCACUGUGGAGGAUCACAAGCAGACAAGAUCUUAGCUCCACUAUCAGAUAGUGAGGACACAACGUCACACUCUCCUGACACUGAUGAUGAACACUCUAAAGAUGAUGCAACAUGUCACACUGACAACACUCACUUCACAUGUUCUCACUGUCACAAAACUUUUAAAUACCAUUGUCGUCUGAAAACACACAUGAGAACACACA